CACGCCGUAAACGAUGAUCACUCGUCAUUGGCGAUAUACUGUCAGUGACCUAGCGAAAGCGUUAAGUGAUCCACCUGGGGAGUACGAUCGCAAGAUUGAAACUCAAAGGAAUUGACGGGGGCCCGCACAAGCGGUGGAGCAUGUGGUUUAAUUCGAUGAUACGCGAGGAACCUUACCAGGGCUCGAACGUAUGUUGACAGUCGCGGAAACGCGAUCUUCUUCGGACAACAUGCGAGGUGC
RNAcentral lists this ribosomal RNA (240 nucleotides) under uncultured bacterium. Its description in RNAcentral is "partial 16S ribosomal RNA". It matches the Rfam family "Bacterial small subunit ribosomal RNA", at positions 796 to 1041 of the family's 1533-position model. The record is from RNAcentral.